GUCGUACAGGUCUCCGUAGGUGAACCUGCGGAGGGAUCAUUACACAAAUAUGAAGGCGGGCUGGAACCUCUCGGGGUUACAGCCUUGCUGAAUUAUUCACCCUUGUCUUUUGCGUACUUCUUGUUUCCUUGGUGGGUUCGCCCACCACUAGGACAAACAUAAACCUUUUGUAAUUGCAAUCAGCGUCAGUAACAAAUUAAUAAUUACAACUUUCAACAACGGAUCUCUUGGUUCUGGCAUCGAUGAAGAACGCAGCGAAAUGCGAUAAGUAGUGUGAAUUGCAGAAUUCAGUGAAUCAUCGAAUCUUUGAACGCACGUUGCGCCCUUUGGUUUUCCAAAGGGCAUGCCUGUUCGAGCGUCAUUUGUACCCUCAAGCUUUGCUUGGUGUUGGGCGUCUUGUCUCUAGCUUUGCUGGAGACUCGCCUUAAAGUAAUUGGCAGCCGGCCUACUGGUUUCGGAGCGCAGCACAAGUCGCACUCUCUAUCAGCAAAGGUCUAGCAUCCAUUAAGCCUUUUUUUUUCAACUUUUGACCUCGGAUCAGGUAGGGAUACCCGCUGAACUUAAGCAUAUCA
RNAcentral lists this ribosomal RNA (572 nucleotides) under uncultured fungus. RNAcentral's name for it is "eukaryotic LSU rRNA". The stretch from base 208 to 361 matches the Rfam family "5.8S ribosomal RNA". The record is from RNAcentral. Lineage: Eukaryota; Fungi.